This 1493-nucleotide long non-coding RNA is filed under the name Oryctolagus cuniculus (rabbit). RNAcentral's name for it is "lncRNA (ENSOCUG00000039165.1)". The record is from RNAcentral. Lineage: Eukaryota; Metazoa; Chordata; Mammalia; Lagomorpha; Leporidae.
GAUCGGGCCCUCGGUCGGCUGCAGUUCCAACGGGAGUGGAGCCGCCUCCAGCUCUGGCAUGCCCAGGUACCCACCUCUGGACCUGGCUGAGGAGACCUGUAUUUCCAUCUCUUGGGGAGAAACUCCUUAAGUGGCCACAUGGGACAGACAGGAACCAAGCCCUAAACUUGUUUCUGACUGUUUCCUCCUAGAUAAUGGCCUCAGGAACCCCUGUGUGCUUGGAGAAUUACCCUGGAGACAGAUUCUACGGAGCAGGCACCACAGCUCUCGGGGACAGGACGGCUGCCUGCCCCAUCUUGGUCCCUUUCCUGAACGGCCUCACUGCUGCGCUAAUGAGGGCUCAAGGCCACGGUCCCGGGCUGAGGGAUCAGAGGCCAGGAGCAGGUAAGGCCGAUCACUAGCCAGUCUAAUGUUCCCUCCUGCUGCCAGUCCUUGUCAGGUUUUGAUCAGUCCUCAUACUACAAGCAGGGCUUCAGGCUCCAUAGAAGCAUAGCCACAGAAGGUUCUUUAGGAAGCACAUGGAGAAACCAAACAUACUAUUUAUUGCCAUGUAAUAAAUUACCUCAAAAUGCCAUGGUUUAAAACACACACACACACACACACACACACACAGUUUCUAUGGCUUGAGAAUCUCUGUAUGGUUAGCUAGGUGCCAGGUCUCAGGGUCUCACACAGGCAGGGUGCCUGCCAGAGCCGAGCCAGCUAGGCUUGACGGGGGAUAUUUGCUUCCGAGUUGCUUCUUGUGGCUCGGAGGAUCUCAAGCCUUCAGUAGCUAUUACCCAGAGAGUAGUUCCUGUCUUAAAGACUUCACAGGACAGCAAACAACAAGACAGCUGACCUCCAAAGAAACAAGCAGGAGCAUAAGAGAGGGAAGCAAGAGGAAAGCCAUGGCCACUCUAUGUCUCAACCUCGGGAGUGACAUCCCAUCCCUUUCGCUAUAUCCAAUUAAUUGGAAGCACAUCACUAGGUGUAAGCCACACCUGGGGAAGGAAUUAAACCGCAGCACGGAUACACACGAGGGCAUCCUCCUAGAGCCUUGCUUUGAUCGCACUCUUACCCCUCACUCUGACAGCUGCUGUCUUCCCUUCUGUUCAGAUGCAGACAAAGACGUCAUCACCUGGACUUCACGGUUCUUCUCUAUCCUGAAGGAAACAGGCGCCUGGUCCCAAGUCCACAAGGAAGGAGAUGAAGUGCAAAAACAAGCACAUCACAACCCAAGCAGCCUCUCCUGCCCUGCUGGCCCAUGCUUAGACUCAUCAAGGGGGAAUGAAGGCUUUUUGCAGGAUCUCCUUAAGCCUCAGACAAUGCAGAAGGAAGAGCUGAUAAUUGUGCAACCCACAGACCUCUCAGCCAGGGAGUUUGUGGUUUACCAGUAUGGUCUCUCCAUCCUGCACCUCCUCAUCCCCCAGCUGCAUGUAAGUCUGGCUUGUGGCCUCUUUGUGGAGCAGCUGCCCAUGGGGCAGGCACCCCUGAACCCUAGAAAGCCAGGGUAG